AAUGGUCCAAAUUUUUUUGGGGGUUUUCUCAUCUUUUGAUUCCAGUUCAGCUCCACUGCAGCUUCAAACUCACAGAAGAUUCCCAUCAGCAGAAGCAGUGAGUCAAUUCAGUUGAUGACAUGCCUCUUCUUCAUCUUGACUCAACGGCUUUUUGAAUAUGAAGUUGGAUCCCAUUUUGAUUUCAUCAUUCAGUCACUCACUUAAACUGGAAGUGAGAUCAAGGAAGGUGUCUUCACUGCAAGGGAUUGUGAUACUGCCCAUGGGAUGAUCGUAUCCAAAUUCUUCUACAGCUUGACUCAGCAAAUCCAUAAAUGAAGGUUGGUUCAAGUAUGAUAUUGGAAUCACAAAUCGCUUCUUCUGGCUCUCUC
This 368-nucleotide long non-coding RNA is filed under the name Rosa chinensis. RNAcentral's name for it is "sRNA RchiOBHm_Chr0c32g0501581". Lineage: Eukaryota; Viridiplantae; Streptophyta; Magnoliopsida; Rosales; Rosaceae. The record is from RNAcentral.